This 336-nucleotide long non-coding RNA is filed under the name Malus domestica (apple). RNAcentral's name for it is "long non-coding RNA (MDOM_LNC016286)". The record is from RNAcentral. Lineage: Eukaryota; Viridiplantae; Streptophyta; Magnoliopsida; Rosales; Rosaceae.
UUUCAUCAAUUUCUUCAAAAUUUUGUCAAAAUAUGUUAUGUUGGAAUAACCAUUUAUAUAAUUAGGGUCCCUCAACUCAUCAAAGUGUGUAAUUAUGGUCUUUUUCGUCAACUACGUAAAAAAAUUUGUCAAAACGAGUUAUGUUGGAAGGACCAUUGCUACAAUUGGGUUAAAGUUAAGGGACCAUUUCUCCAGUUGAAUUAAAGUUGAGGGACCAAAGGUAAUGGAUUUUUAGUUGAGGGACCAUAGCUACACGUUUUGAUGAGUUGAAGGACCAAUGGUAAUGGAUUUUUAGUUGAAGGACCAUUGCUCCAAUUGAGUUAAAGUUAAGGGACC